CCCUGUGUGGGGACAACCCGGGGAAACCCGGGCUAAUACCGCAUGGGCAGGCACUUCACAGGAAGAGCCUGGGAAAGAGGCCCUCUUUACAAUGGUCUCAUGCAGGGAGGAGCUCGCGGGCUAUCAGCUAGUUGGUGAGGUAACGGCUCACCAAGGCUUCGACGGCUACGGGGUCUGAGAGGACGACCCCGCACAUUGGAACUGAGACACGGUCCAG
This 217-nucleotide ribosomal RNA is filed under the name uncultured bacterium. RNAcentral's name for it is "partial 16S ribosomal RNA". It matches the Rfam family "Bacterial small subunit ribosomal RNA", at positions 130 to 334 of the family's 1533-position model. The record is from RNAcentral.